This 2266-nucleotide ribosomal RNA is filed under the name Escherichia coli. Its description in RNAcentral is "bacterial LSU rRNA". It matches the Rfam family "Bacterial large subunit ribosomal RNA", at positions 14 to 2306 of the family's 2925-position model. Lineage: Bacteria; Pseudomonadati; Pseudomonadota; Gammaproteobacteria; Enterobacterales; Enterobacteriaceae. The record is from RNAcentral.
AGCGUACACGGUGGAUGCCCUGGCAGUCAGAGGCGAUGAAGGACGUGCUAAUCUGCGAUAAGCGUCGGUAAGGUGAUAUGAACCGUUAUAACCGGCGAUUUCCGAAUGGGGAAACCCAGUGUGAUUCGUCACACUAUCAUUAACUGAAUCCAUAGGUUAAUGAGGCGAACCGGGGGAACUGAAACAUCUAAGUACCCCGAGGAAAAGAAAUCAACCGAGAUUCCCCCAGUAGCGGCGAGCGAACGGGGAGCAGCCCAGAGCCUGAAUCAGUGUGUGUGUUAGUGGAAGCGUCUGGAAAGGCGCGCGAUACAGGGUGACAGCCCCGUACACAAAAAUGCACAUGCUGUGAGCUCGAUGAGUAGGGCGGGACACGUGGUAUCCUGUCUGAAUAUGGGGGGACCAUCCUCCAAGGCUAAAUACUCCUGACUGACCGAUAGUGAACCAGUACCGUGAGGGAAAGGCGAAAAGAACCCCGGCGAGGGGAGUGAAAAAGAACCUGAAACCGUGUACGUACAAGCAGUGGGAGCACGCUUAGGCGUGUGACUGCGUACCUUUUGUAUAAUGGGUCAGCGACUUAUAUUCUGUAGCAAGGUUAACCGAAUAGGGGAGCCGAAGGGAAACCGAGUCUUAACUGGGCGUUAAGUUGCAGGGUAUAGACCCGAAACCCGGUGAUCUAGCCAUGGGCAGGUUGAAGGUUGGGUAACACUAACUGGAGGACCGAACCGACUAAUGUUGAAAAAUUAGCGGAUGACUUGUGGCUGGGGGUGAAAGGCCAAUCAAACCGGGAGAUAGCUGGUUCUCCCCGAAAGCUAUUUAGGUAGCGCCUCGUGAAUUCAUCUCCGGGGGUAGAGCACUGUUUCGGCAAGGGGGUCAUCCCGACUUACCAACCCGAUGCAAACUGCGAAUACCGGAGAAUGUUAUCACGGGAGACACACGGCGGGUGCUAACGUCCGUCGUGAAGAGGGAAACAACCCAGACCGCCAGCUAAGGUCCCAAAGUCAUGGUUAAGUGGGAAACGAUGUGGGAAGGCCCAGACAGCCAGGAUGUUGGCUUAGAAGCAGCCAUCAUUUAAAGAAAGCGUAAUAGCUCACUGGUCGAGUCGGCCUGCGCGGAAGAUGUAACGGGGCUAAACCAUGCACCGAAGCUGCGGCAGCGACACUAUGUGUUGUUGGGUAGGGGAGCGUUCUGUAAGCCUGUGAAGGUGUACUGUGAGGUAUGCUGGAGGUAUCAGAAGUGCGAAUGCUGACAUAAGUAACGAUAAAGCGGGUGAAAAGCCCGCUCGCCGGAAGACCAAGGGUUCCUGUCCAACGUUAAUCGGGGCAGGGUGAGUCGACCCCUAAGGCGAGGCCGAAAGGCGUAGUCGAUGGGAAACAGGUUAAUAUUCCUGUACUUGGUGUUACUGCGAAGGGGGGACGGAGAAGGCUAUGUUGGCCGGGCGACGGUUGUCCCGGUUUAAGCGUGUAGGCUGGUUUUCCAGGCAAAUCCGGAAAAUCAAGGCUGAGGCGUGAUGACGAGGCACUACGGUGCUGAAGCAACAAAUGCCCUGCUUCCAGGAAAAGCCUCUAAGCAUCAGGUAACAUCAAAUCGUACCCCAAACCGACACAGGUGGUCAGGUAGAGAAUACCAAGGCGCUUGAGAGAACUCGGGUGAAGGAACUAGGCAAAAUGGUGCCGUAACUUCGGGAGAAGGCACGCUGAUAUGUAGGUGAAGUCCCUCGCGGAUGGAGCUGAAAUCAGUCGAAGAUACCAGCUGGCUGCAACUGUUUAUUAAAAACACAGCACUGUGCAAACACGAAAGUGGACGUAUACGGUGUGACGCCUGCCCGGUGCCGGAAGGUUAAUUGAUGGGGUCAGCGCAAGCGAAGCUCUUGAUCGAAGCCCCGGUAAACGGCGGCCGUAACUAUAACGGUCCUAAGGUAGCGAAAUUCCUUGUCGGGUAAGUUCCGACCUGCACGAAUGGCGUAAUGAUGGCCAGGCUGUCUCCACCCGAGACUCAGUGAAAUUGAACUCGCUGUGAAGAUGCAGUGUACCCGCGGCAAGACGGAAAGACCCCGUGAACCUUUACUAUAGCUUGACACUGAACAUUGAGCCUUGAUGUGUAGGAUAGGUGGGAGGCUUUGAAGUGUGGACGCCAGUCUGCAUGGAGCCGACCUUGAAAUACCACCCUUUAAUGUUUGAUGUUCUAACGUGGACCCGUGAUCCGGGUUGCGGACAGUGUCUGGUGGGUAGUUUGACUGGGGCGGUCUCCUCCUAAAGAGUAACGGAGG